This is a long non-coding RNA of Topomyia yanbarensis, 2717 nucleotides long. RefSeq lists it as uncharacterized. The transcript has 3 exons. NCBI's taxonomy places the organism in Eukaryota, Metazoa, Arthropoda, Insecta, Diptera, Culicidae. The record is from RefSeq and is a predicted model, not a curated record.
CGUUCCCCGUUCUCUAGCUUAGCUUGUGGUAUGAACCCCAAAACUGGUUUCGAUUCGCCGCAGCCGUUGACCGUUUUGCGAUUAUCAUAUCUUGCUCAGUCGGCUCUUUUUUUUCCGCAGCCGCUAUACAUUUUUAGCGUUAAUUAACUCUCCUCGAGACCUCUUGCCUCGGUCAUGAUCGAUAUCAAACGGAUAGAAAUCCUAUUAAAGGAUGUACGAAUGGGUGGUACCGGGGUAAGUGGGAAAUAAAUCUCGCACGCAAGAGUUAAUUUCAGGCUACCCGCUGGGAGAGAUCUGUAAGCGUAAACGGUGAAGCCCAGAAGGUUCUUGUAGGCUUUGGCGAAUUGCCCUACGCAAAAUGUUUCUUUUCUUUUUCUGCAGACGUAGGUUCCUUCCGCAAGAGAUAUCCGAAGGCGCAGGGGGUUGGGAAUGAUUGGGAACUUUGUUGCGAUAGCAAUUAUCGAUCAAAGUGGCAGCCGAUACACGAUACGCAACUAGGCUGUAAUAAAGUAUUCCCCACCCCCGCUCCCAGUGUUGAGGUUUCUUCCCUCUGCUGGGUGAGUGAGUGUGCGUGUAUUUUAGCAUGACUCAAGUCGAGUAACCGUAGGAUUGAGCACAAGUUGCGGUUUUACGGUGACUCGAUACCGGGCAAACACAGAAUCGUGAGAAGGGAAUUAUUCAGUUGUUUGUGCGCGAAUUUGCGAUUGUUUUUAUAAGACGCAAAAGAAUAUGAAAGCUAGUCAGUUUUGACUUAGUCAAGUGUGGAAUAGUUAUCUACCUAGUAAUUAGCUAUUGAUCACGACACCAGUUAUUGAAAUCAUUUGUUUUUACAAACAUAACGUGAGAUAUAAAAGUAUUUACCAAAAAUUAGUGAUUUAAUCAGUUUAUUUUGUUGUUGUUUAUUUAACCUUAACAACCUAAAACCGGAACAAGAUUCUGUAGAGCUUCUGGUUCUGGAGCUUAACACUUUGUAUUUAUUAAUGCGGACUUCUAUUUCAGUAAGGGUGCACCAAUCUCAAAGGGAACAAUAUGAAACGACUGGAUAGAUAAAUUAAAAAUAGGCGGACCAAGGUGACCGCCUUGCGGGAUACCGGUAGGUGUGCUUAAUGUGCUUAUUUUAACGAAGGUGGAGCGAUGAGUGAAAAAGGACUGAAACCAACUAUAUAUUCGCGCAGGUAAGUCCCAGGCUCGAAUGACGAGGUUUGCUCGCGGAAUGCUGUUGUACUAAUUUCAAAAGUAUUAUCGCCUUAGACCGUAUGUAUCGCAAUGAUGGAAUGUCUAGUGAAAGUGUCAACCUACUGGUUCUGUGGAGUAUGUAAGGCAGUUUGAUCUGCGAAAAUUCCAAGCAAUCUCGCGAUAUUUUGUUGCAGAUUGAACAAAAAAACGAAAAGGAUUUAUGGUAUUGUUUAACGAGACUUCAUUCAGGGCUUUGUAAAAGAAUUUUUGUUCAACAAUUUCCGCGAAAUUCUUGAAAACUUCUCUUCAAACAUCAAGGAUCCUAUUAAUUUCAAACAAUAUCUACAAAACUUAAAAAAGACGGCGCUUAUGGUUGAGUGGCAAAUGUGGCCACUUCCACCCCAAUGAGUCUGCGUUCAAUCCCAGCCGAGGUCGUUAAGAUUUUCUGAGGUGAACCCGUCCUGGUACCAAUCCAUGCAUUGAAGGGCCGUCAUCUGGAGUCCAGAUAGUGAAGUCACUUUUCUGUUUAAACUUCCAACAAAGUUUAAAGUGGAAUUCAGAAUUAAGUUUUGGAAUUUCUUGGAAAUGUAGGGUACCCUAUCAACUUAAGGGAGUACCGGAGUGGGAAAUGAGCAUAAAAAGUAAUAAAAUAAACCAGCAUCACUUGACACGUUGCGCAACAUACUAAAUGUUGUAGAGUAUGUCGUGAGUAAAAAGAGCAAGAAUGCAACAAGUAUAACACAUUUUUAUCAGUGAUAUAGAUACCCAUGAAUAGUCUUCUUUCGUAAAUGCAAUAUGCUCGAUAACAUAGUUUCAUUCAUCAGAUCUGAUUAGCGUUAUUUUAUAAUGUUUCUAUACAACAAAUCAGUAAAAUACCUAUUGCAAAGUUUCAACUAUUCAGAAAUACCCCAGCAUGCUUCUGAUUUUAUAAAAUAUGAAUUGAAUUGCUUGCAAAAAGUAUAUCGUUAUGUUAUUUAGGAAUCAAUAUUGUGAUGAUGGCGCCCUAUCAGUGCUGGCUCUUAGGUAAACCACUGGUUAUACAAACCGAUUAUUAUAUGUAUGCAACGAUCAGGCUAGAUUCAUCGAUUUUGUAGAGUCGCUUCAUUAUACAAGAUUCAUCUGCUACAUAGUAUAUUAUAACAGAACCCAAAUAAUCCGCCAAUGUAUGAACUACUCUAGUAGCGAUUCUAAGUAGAUCAUGAUUGCUAGCAGGAAAAACAAUUAGGUAUGGUGUAUCGUUCAGAUAAAUAGUUGAUCUACCAAAUUUGGAAUAAUCACAGAGAUAAAGCAAAGUUGUGGAACUCCAAUCUUCUCCUGACAAUCCUAUUGGUACUAAAAACACAUACCGAUCUCCCCUCGUGGCAAUAUGAGACCAUUUUUCCUUGAUACCAUCAGACCAGGAAGCGUACACUCUUCGUUUUAGCACCCAAACGUUAUCUAAGUGUCCUAGUAAGUAUAUUGAUACACUGCCUAUAAUCGCAAGUAAGUCCCAUGUAGAUAGGGGAUCUCGUAAAACAUGGGACUGUCUUGCGAUUAUAGGC